ACCCAUUAAUAAAACCAUCACUAUCUCCAUUGACACCAUCAACAUCUCCACCAUCCCCAGCCCCUCUGUUACCAUCCCAUCACCUCCCGCACCCGAAUCGCGAUCCUCAUCAUCUCCAGCAUGCAAAAACUCUUGCUGGUCAUGAGCCAUCUUCUCCUAUGCAAAACGCUUGAAUUGCCUUGCUUCCAUUUGGAUCUCUGCCUUCUCCCUCUAUAACCUCAGUAUCAUUGACAUUGCCUCAUUUGUGGCCAUUGAAGAGGCAUUUCUCUCCUCUUCCAGUUCGGCAUGUAAAUCUUGUAUUGCCUACUGUUGGCUACUAACUGUUUCAUGAACCAAGCACCCCUGGUGGAGGAAGCUACUGAAGAACAACUACACCCACAAUUACCACACUUCACCAAAUCCCUCGACCGUGAAGGUGAAGAGGUAAGUGAAAGUACUCGCAAAUCCAUAAAGCAAUUAGCAUUAAAAUUUAAGAUGAUGGUGGAGAUGUUGAUGGUGUUGGUGGAGGUAGUGACAUGCCUGGAGGUGGUGAUGAUUUGCGUGCUAGAGAUCUCCCAACAACUGAAGCUGUGUCAUCACCAUUCGCUCCCAAGAAAGAUCUCCCAAUUUCUUCCUCUUCUUCACUAGAAGUAAUUGGCAAAAUCACCUCCAUUUAGGCUGCUUUUAGCCUUUUCAAGGAAACAUGGCAAAGCCUCACGUCACCUUGGAGGUUGCAAACGACGGCGUAGCUGUCAUUUCCAUGUUCAAUCCUCCCAUUAAUACCUUAGCUCUUCCAAUUAUUGCGGGCGGCUUGAAGGGCCACAAGGAAAAACGAUGUUCAAUGUAAUACCCGACUAGACUCCGGUAUCGGAAUUCCUACCGUCCAGUGGGAUCUCGGAUGUCGAAAACCUCUAGAAGGGAAAAACUAUGUUUUUAUAAAAUGUUUUAAUGUA
This is a long non-coding RNA of Manihot esculenta (cassava), 932 nucleotides long. RefSeq lists it as uncharacterized. The record is from RefSeq and is a predicted model, not a curated record. The transcript has 3 exons. NCBI's taxonomy places the organism in Eukaryota, Viridiplantae, Streptophyta, Magnoliopsida, Malpighiales, Euphorbiaceae.